Molecule: long non-coding RNA, 1009 nt
Organism: Aedes albopictus (Asian tiger mosquito)
Lineage: Eukaryota; Metazoa; Arthropoda; Insecta; Diptera; Culicidae
Exons: 3
Source: RefSeq, a predicted model, not a curated record
UCGUAUGCAAAAUUACAUCGGCUCGAUGGUAAUGUACAUCUUAGCUCAAAUUACACAAAAACCAAAUAUCAAUUUCUCUUAGCAUCGUUUCUGUGUAAUAUUCACAUUGAAAGAAUGUGAAUAUUACACAGAAACAGCUGCAACCAAGUGGUUGCGAUGAGGUUGUGUACAAUUACACAAACUCGAUGCCAUAUCGCAUCCCCUCAUGUGCGAUAUUGUCGCGCAACACUGUAUCGAUUGUUUUGAUCGUUCGGCGCAAGCAAAACGAGCGAAGCGAAGCCAUCUUGCUUAAUUAAAGUUGUUUGUUCAAGUGCUCUGUUUUUUUGAUAAUUCCCUUGAUUAUGACCCAGCCACGUCGAGUCUUUCCCGGUAUCGGUGAUUUUUCGCAUCGCCUCCCCGACUUGAUCCGAUUUGAUGCUGGCAAACGAUGAUCUGGCCAUCAUGGCAAAACAUCCCCGGACCAGACAUACGGAGCAGUCGGACCGAAAACACCACCUUCGUUGAACCGGCUUAGAGUCUGUUUCACCUCCGCGCAAGUAUGAUCCCCAAGGGCGCUGCUGGAUCCGCAGCAAUUUGACGACCGUAGUGCCGGCCAAAGUUCGGCAACGGAAAAGGAAACCAAAUUUGUGAUGCCCUCUAAGAAGGAAUACCGAUACCCAGAAUGCCGAUUGUAAAUAUUCCAACAUUACGCGUCCUAAUCGACAAUCGUUGCCUGUGGCGGCGCAGUGUGCGUGAUGUCCCCCAGGUCUUGAUUUUUCGGGAUUGAUAAAUACGUUGGCGAGAGUAUGGAUGAUGGCAAAUUCUUCGGAAGGCGAUAUGCUUUGCAGAAUGACGAUGCCGCUGUCUUCAAGCGGUACUUUAUUCACCGCUGCCGUCAGAAUGGUCGCCCCAACUACUUUGUGCUCGCAGAACCAACUUUAAUUGUUAUAUAAUAAUUAUUCUUAUGAGUAAAUUAUUUAAAUUUUAUAAAACAAAAUCUACUAUAAAAAUAAAAUUUCCCUCUAGAGUA